Molecule: ribosomal RNA, 484 nt
Filed under: uncultured bacterium
Lineage: Bacteria
Description: partial 16S ribosomal RNA
Rfam family: Bacterial small subunit ribosomal RNA
Source: RNAcentral
AUUGAACGCUGGCGGCAGGCCUAACACAUGCAAGUCGAGCGGAUGAAGGGAGCUUGCUCCUGGAUUCAGCGGCGGACGGGUGAGUAAUGCCUAGGAAUCUGCCUGGUAGUGGGGGAUAACGUCCGGAAACGGGCGCUAAUACCGCAUACGUCCUGAGGGAGAAAGUGGGGGAUCUUCGGACCUCACGCUAUCAGAUGAGCCUAGGUCGGAUUAGCUAGUUGGUGGGGUAAAGGCCUACCAAGGCGACGAUCCGUAACUGGUCUGAGAGGAUGAUCAGUCACACUUGAGCUGAGACACGGUCCAGACUCCUACGGGAGGCAGCAGUGGGGAAUAUUGGACAAUGGGCGAAAGCCUGAUCCAGCCAUGCCGCGUGUGUGAAGAAGGUCUUCGGAUUGUAAAGCACUUUAAGUUGGGAGGAAGGGCAGUAAGUUAAUACCUUGCUGUUUUGACGUUACCAACAGAAUAAGCACCGGCUAACUUCGUG